Long non-coding RNA from Dalotia coriaria, 7179 nucleotides. RefSeq lists it as uncharacterized. The transcript has 3 exons. The record is from RefSeq and is a predicted model, not a curated record. Lineage: Eukaryota; Metazoa; Arthropoda; Insecta; Coleoptera; Staphylinidae.
UGUGAAUCGUGCACGUCGUGCGUUUUUGCGUCGGUUGCAGGUUAUAAACGUUUUGUUGCUGUUAAUCAGUGCGAAUUGUGGAAAGCGUUUGCUGCCCAGUCAUGCGUGGGUAGGAGGCUCAUUGGUUCGCGAAUUGGGCAAUUUGCGAGCUCAAUUUGGCGGCUAAUUUUCGCCCGCCCGCGCGUUACUCACGCACGGCAGCGGCGACGACGCAAACUAACCAACUAACCACAGAAACCUGGCGGUGGCGUCAUCCGAUCUCGUCACAUCUCAUUACAUGCGGCAUCAAAUGUGCGCGUAGCCAAGCCGAGAAGAUCAAACAAGCCAAACGUCAAAAUGUUUAACAGCGACCUCUUCAGGGACUCUUUGGCACUCUCAGUCGAUGGUCAUUAAAGUUUUGUCACGCCGGCAACCUAAAACCUCUCUUCACCUCACACCACGCCACUCGUGUUCAAUCUCAACCAAAGAAGAACCAACUAAAAUCCCACGUGGACUUUGCAGGCCGUUUUUCCCGGGAAACUUUUCGGUCACCAGCCGCAACAUCGAAAAACUCGAGUGAACUGGAAAGUACUUAAAAUCACUUUUUGUUCCGUCCAGGUAUGUGUGGGCAGACGACAUUCAAGCGAAAGAAGAUGCGCCAACUCGAAAGGUAAAGUUUGUCCGAGUUAGUUUCGAAUGUGAUUAGAGAAAUGUACGACAGGGCGAGAGUGCAGCAUCCGACAAGGUAACUGCUUUUGAAACAGUCCUUCCGUGUCGCUGGAGUUGUGUUAACCACGUUAGCAUUGAUACCGAACGACAUGGUAACACAAUCGGAGGGACAAAAGGUAACAAUGGGUACGUUUUCAACUACAAAUGUUUGACCCUAGGCGCCGUGUUGGAGUUGCAAACUAACACGCUGUGAGAGGUAACAAUAGGCACUACCUAUGAGUUCAUCGCCAGUUGUCGUCAUCAUUGACAUUGUGAACUUUUGAACCUUUGUAAGUAUGACCUUUGUAUUUGUAAGUCAUGUAAAUAUUUUUUUUUCACUGCUUUGUUGUCACUUAUGAAUGAAGUUUAAUCAACAUGUGUGGUAAAAAAGCCAGAGAUAAAGCACUUUGUUAAAGCUGCACGUUCGUGUGCGCGGCGGGCGUGCACGCUCCUUGAAUACGAAAUUUUUCCCUGCCUGGAGACCUGUUUUUGGGAUGAGUACGGUUGGCGCAGUUACAGUAGCAGCUGAAAGAGGCGAGAACCGCAUUAACACCGAGAGAUCGUUUGCUCGAUUAAUAAAGCAUUCAAGCGAGACAGAAACAGCGAGAAACCACGAGGAUCUCCGCGUACGUCCUGCUAAUUGGACGGGGCUCAGUCGAGCGCGAGAAGGAUCCGGGACUUGACUGGAGCUCACAUGAGCCAGGCCCGCGUGCACGCAUCGUACGUGCGAAAAGCUAAAACCUAAUUAAAGAACUAACUUUAACUUUGGCUUAACAAAGCGUCUCUGUUAUAUAUUUAGGACGACGAAAAGUAUAUUUGUUACACUGUCAGCAUAAACAUCACCUCAUCAAAAAUGCUUUGUAGUAUUAUGCAUUAAUCCAUAUUUUACUUAGUUUGCAAUUAUCAAGUGCACCAGAUGCGCUGUUUCAUUAAGUGGUACAAGGGCAGAUGCACCACCAUCAAUGGUGCUUCUGUUGGCAGACUCAAGUGUGCAUGCUGCAAGCAGUGUGGACAGAUUGGGACGUUUUGAGAUCGGCAAUUUAUACAUUUACCACUAUUCCCGGAUGAAGCCCUUGUCAAUGAAGAUGUAGAUGUAGAUGUGUUUAAUUGAAUUGUGACAAUGGAAACCAACUCUAGAUGUAAUUUACUCAGCACUAGUUUAACUUCAUCAACGUCUGUAAGUAAAAUAAGGUAAAAAUUUGAUAUUUUACAGGAGAAGAAGAAAAAAAUUGAAAAUUUUGUUGGUUAAGAUAUUAACAACUUAGUUAAUAACUUUACCUAAGAGGUGAAAGAGUGAUCUUGGAAAAUACUUUCGUGAAUACUACCUACUUUGUAUAUUUAAACAUUUUGUUCAUUAGAAAUUUACGUCGUUUGUCCUUGCAUGAAAGCCGCUUUGCUUCAGCACUAAGACCAAAACGGACCAUAAUAAAUGUCACGCGGUCUAAGCCGGAAAGAGGAUUUUGUCGACGCAAAACGGAGCACGGGGUCUUGAGACAGGUCAACACGCAAACCAACAACUCGCUUACCGCGGGGUUUGUAUAAAAAUUUAAUUUACAAAUUAAAAAAGGCCUCGUAAAUCAUUGUUAAUAGUUUAAUUUAAUAAGCUUUACAAAUUCACAGAGUGAAUAAAUAUCGUCGGAAAGCUUGACAAAAACAAACUUUAAUUCUUUCGGAAACGGAAGCAGCUUAGGAGCGGAAAUGUCUUUUUCCGCUUUCACCGGUGUCGUCGUGGAUGGUACCAACGAAAAAAAGCAGAGUUCUCCGAGUUUAAUCCGUCAUCUUGCGACAAAGUACCAAGAAGCAAAUACACACUUCCCAAAUGAAAUAUUGCACCCGCAAGUAAAAUAUUACACGAUUAAUUUUCAGUGUAGUUAAACAAAACUCGUAAAACCAAGGAACAAAAAGCGCUAAGUAGAAAACUUGUUCUAAGACAGUUUCGAUUACAUCAAAUAUUGAAAUAACCUGCCUAUAAGGUGAGUAUAGCAGGCGAAAGUGUAAUGUAACGAUAACGCGUUUUAGUUUUAUGAUACUCUGUCGAUGUGCAGGUAUAAAAUAUGAAAAUCGUUGUGUUCAUAUUCACUAUAUUCAACCAGGUCGUAAAAUUCUUUCGAGGCCAAUAUGAUGCUUGUGAGGUAUGGUACAAGAAAAAAAUUGAUUAAAUUCCGAUGAUAUUGCAUAUUUUACAUCGUUUUUCUUUAGUUUUCGGAGCGUAAUACUUCGCUAGCCAAGAGGUUGUUUAUUGCGUUCUUUGCAAUUUAUAAAAAUUGCUUACUACAGCUUUAAGUAUAAGUUUCAGCAUAAAAAUACUUUGGGAGAAGCAUUAACAAAGGUUUAAUUUAAAAUUAUAUAUAAUGACUAAUCAACUAUCGAUAAAAGAAAAGAAAAUUUAAUUUUUUCGGCUUUUGCGACUUUUUCCACGGUUUUGUGACACAAAAAGGGGUACUUUAAAUACGGACGGCUAAAACCGUGACUUAAAGUACUUUAGUCACGGGUUUUAGUCACGUGGUGGAUAAAAACUCCACUUUAGUCACUUGAUACUUAAUAUACUAUUUUUACAUUCAACGAAUUACGUUUUUACGUAAAAUCUUCUAUAAAAUAGUUUCGUUUCGUUAAAUUCAAAAGCUGCCGAAAUGCCUUUCGAGAUUAGUUGAGUAAAUGCAAUGGAAAAAAUAAAACGAAAAUCUUUUUCAACGUUUCAUCGAAAUAAAAUACACGCAACCCACGUACCCGAAAGUGGAUGGAAUUCUAAAAGCAACGAACGUUGUGGGCUGAUGCGUAUUGAGAAGCAUCGGGAGGAAAAUGGAGUGAAAGCUUGGCCCGACGGAAAGGAGCUUCGAAAAGACACGAAAUUGUCCAAAAUAAACGUGUUCCCGGCUCGUGUAUUCAUCCACGUCGUUUUCGGGAUAAACAAAGAGUUGUAAGGGCGGUCAAGGGCAUUAAAAAGACCGAAUUCGAUAAUGCCAUAAUGACCACCAUACGUUUUCCGGGAGAGUGUACUAAUAAAAAUGUCAAUAACAAUUUCUAUACGGAUUUAGAAUUCAGUAAAGUUCGCAUAGAAUAAUCCCGGGGAUAAAAAAUAUCAAAUUCUAUUCGUACGCGUAGAUAACUAAAUGAAAGUUAGGUGAUUCGGGUAUUCCGGUAUCACGCAAGUGGUAAAUGGGCCGUUAAGUAGAUUAUCAAUUUGUUUCCAACACGUCUGCGUUGGUAAACCGGCUGCUCUUCGUUGCAAAAUUUCCGAAUAUUCACACACCCGAAAGGGAAACCCAGAUAUCAUAUCGCGCGUGUUUCCGCCACCGUCCUAAUCAUGUAAUCGUGCAUUAAUCGUGCCUCAUCACUAUCAUUACCUCUAUUAUACGUUUUAUCAACUUAAACUGUUUAGAUAAGAUAAUUUCGUAAAUUAAAUUUUCAUUUGGAUAGAAAUUUCUAAACACUGAUGAAUCACGUUAAUCAACGGGCGAGCGAGGCGCCGAUUCGGUGAAAACUGUUAAUUAAUCAAUAUGCAAAUUCAAGCGUAUUGCGACGCUGAUUGGCAGUGUGAGUUUAAUUAAAGUCGGAAUGCGUAUACAUCAAAGCGCAUUCUGUUAAUAUUAUCGCAAAUUACCAAAUAGUUGAUAUUAGUUAAUUAAACCAAAAUCAAUAGAAAUUAAUUACGAGUUAUUAUUGAAUCAAUUCAAUUUUAUAUUUAAUGAAUAUUCCGGGUGAAUGUUAUUUAUUUGCGUUUAUGACGCACGUACAGGUACCAGCUGUGGUGGAGGCGCCGGUCAAAGGGCUAAUAGGACGUCACGCUCGCCGCGCUAAUUAAGCCUCGAACCUCGGCUCGCAAUGGCCUUACCUCGCUCGUUACGCCGCGUUUGUUUCUCGAACGCCGACGGCGUAUAUAACUACUUUAUGGCCGACGGGCUGGCUGAUCACAAAGGGCUUAUCUCAUGCGCGCCAUGAUGGCACCACGGCUAAUGUUGCAAUCAACGCAAUAGAGUUUCAUCACGUUCCGGCGUAUCGAACAUGGCAAACAAAUGAACACGAAAUGAAAUUCGAUUUAACUUUUUGACUCACCUACCGUCGUCGUCGGCAUCGUAAUACUUUGGUAACUUUGUUUGCUUACUUUGAGUUUUGUUUGUUUUGCGCCACUUUGGACACCUUUCACUUUUCGUUGAUUUUUAUAUAUAAGUUAUUUAACUUGUUGAGUAUAAUAAUACAUUGUCAUGUCGGCAGGUUGACGUUGACUUUUCAUUUCCUGCCGCAUGCGUUGUUCUCCCUGCGGACGCAAACUGCGUAAGUUUUUUUUCUUCCUCAGCGUUUGUGCUGUCAUACAUAAAUGUAUGGGAAAGCGUUUCGUGUUGCGUCCAGAGAAUAAAAAGACCAUGAAAUGUGAAAAUCAACGAUUUGACAUGAAAAAAAUGUCAAAAUUUUAUGCUAGGCAACCAGUUAUACAUUUUGACAUGACAUACGUUUACAAGUUUAGAACAAUGGAUGAAAUAUUCGCACAUCCGUUCGAAACACUAAAAGUGUAACAAAUCAUUUGCCGGCCAUCGACACAAGGGUUGUAUUUUUUAUGAUGUCCGAUAGUGCUACCCACUGCUAACCAUAUUUGAUUUUAUAAAGAUUGAUUGUUUCCCCAGGCAGCUGGGUGGGUAAUCGAUCCGAUGUGUUUGAUGACUGAUGCGUGGUUGAAUGAUAGAUAGAAUAGCAGGUGAUAACAUACCAAGUGAUGCAAUAAAUUUUAAAAUUUUUUAUUUUCGGUUGUCUUGUAGAAUAAAACGUUAAGUUGGUUGUUUUGCGUUGUCCAAACGUGAAAAAUGCUUGUUUACAAACCGCAGCCAAAGCGGGCCAUCGGAAUUGUUUGCACGCCGUGAAUGUUUUAUACACGGCUGGAGGCCAUGCCAGCGUCAAAAGCAAACCGCUCCGUCGACUCGUCAAAACUGCGGCGGCGGCGGCGUCGAGUGAGUUGUCGCGUUGAUGGCCGGUCGUUUCGCGGCGCACGUGUGUUCAGCGUUCGAGAGGCGAACAAUAGACUUCGAAAAGGUAGUGGCUUGUGCCAGCCGUGCGGAAAAACGUCGGUGAACGAAAUGUAAAAUGCGCUUUUUACGCUUUCAGGCGGCAAAAAAAGCGGCUGUCGUUUUGACCGGAAACCAAACAACCAACAACGAUAGUUUCCAUACAAAAAAUAUGGAAACGAAGUUGACGGUUGCUGUCGGCCAUUUUGAACGCAAAACAAACUACUUGAUCAAAUGCAUUCAUUAUUUGGCGUUCCAUUCGGCACAAGUUUUACAUUUGAGUGAAAUGCCUGAUGAAAGUGGGCGAAAAUUGCGGCGCAGUAUUGCGGGUGCUUUAAAGCUACCCCCACCCCUUUUAGCCGUCGAAGGCACAUUCUUUUAACUAUACCGGUACGCUCUAUUUGCAUUUUUAAAACGCUCAAUUGGAAUUCACAAAGAACGCGCGUCGACGAAAAAGUCGAGCGAUGAGGGAAGGAAAUGGAAAUUGAGCUCGGGCGCACAAAAAGCGUACGAAACAAAGCGCGUACAGAAUUUGUGAAAUUGAAUUGCAUCGCGCGUUUUUACACCGCACGCAUUGAAUUAAACUCAUUUCUUAAGAUUUUUUGAAAAUGUUAAAAAUCAUUUUUUUAUUCCUUGAUUCACAUUUUUAAAGUUAACAAUGGACAUUUCGGGUUUUCGGUAUUUGCAUGCCAUGGCGAUUCGUUAUGUCAAAGUUGAAUAAGUUGAAUAUUUCGCCAACGAAGGUUCGCCGGGUGCGCUUUGUUCGCGCCGACUGAAAUAUGCCAUUAUCUUGCACUGGUUGCCCGCUGAGAGGAGCGCAAGGUACACACACAGCAUCCCUACCCCAUCCUCUCACCAUUCAGCUUGCGCUUUGUGAUCAGAUCCGGGUUUUCAAGUGUAUUUUUAAAAAAGAGUUGAAAUUUUUCCGGAUUAAGAGACGCCUCUGAAGUGUGCUCGCGGUGGAUCGGUAUCAAAAUUCGGCCAAGUGUCGAAAACGAAGACCACGACAGGCGGAAAACCGAGCGGCGCGCACAAUUUAUGCUCAUGCGAAAUACGAAUAUCGGAAGCCUUUGUAUGCGCCAAUUCUAUGACUAUGUGGAGCCCCCCGGGGUGGCAGUGCAAGUGCACGGCGGUUUGGAAACACGCCGUUUGCAUCUGACGGCUGAACUAUCGAAUCAGAAAGAAAAAAAUAGAAAAUUUUUGCGCUCGGCAAACAUGCUGGUAUCCUGAAUCUAUAUAGCAUUGUGGAAUACGAAUCCGAGAGUCUGAUAGUCACCGAGGCGGAGUUAGUGGCGUGCCGCUCGCGUACAGAGACGAAUAGAAGACGAUAAGGAAUUCAUUAUUCCGUCGCUUUUCUUAAGUUCUUUUCCUUCAGCAGAGCUUUCUGUAUGACGGCUAAAACCUUCUAUUGAAUAAAAAUGCUACGCGUUUAUAUCUGUACGUAAUGACAGAGGCACACAUUCAGAUAAUGCGAUGUUCUUUCGGGAUUUAAUAGGAU